UACAGAGGGUGCAAGCGUUAAUCGGAAUUACUGGGCGUAAAGCGCACGUAGGCGGUUCUUUAAGUCAGAUGUGAAAGCCCCGGGCUCAACCUGGGAAUUGCAUUUGAAACUGGGAAACUAGAGUGUGUGAGAGGGGGGUAGAAUUCCAGGUGUAGCGGUGAAAUGCGUAGAGAUCUGGAGGAAUACCGAUGGCGAAGGCAGCCAUCUGGCCUAAUACUGACACUGAGGUGCGAAAGCAUGGGGAGCAAACAGG
Molecule: ribosomal RNA, 253 nt
Filed under: uncultured bacterium
Lineage: Bacteria
Description: partial 16S ribosomal RNA
Rfam family: Bacterial small subunit ribosomal RNA
Source: RNAcentral